Molecule: ribosomal RNA, 208 nt
Filed under: uncultured bacterium
Lineage: Bacteria
Description: partial 16S ribosomal RNA
Rfam family: Bacterial small subunit ribosomal RNA
Source: RNAcentral
CACGUAGGCGGAUUGGCAAGUCAGAUGUGAAAGCCCGGGGCUUAACCCCCGGAAUUGCAUUUGAUACUGUCUGUCUUGAGUAUGGUAGAGGGGGAUGGAAUUCCCGGUGUAGAGGUGAAAUUCGUAGAUAUCGGGAGGAACACCAGAGGCGAAGGCGAUCCCCUGGGCCAUUACUGACGCUGAGGUGCGAAAGCGUGGGGAGCAAACA